AGCGACUGUGCAGGUUACCGCGGCUGCUGGCACGGAGUUAGCCGGUGCUUCUUCUGUGAGUGAUGUCCUUCCUGCCGGCUAUUAACCCGCAGGCCUUCUUCCUCACUGAAAGUGCUUUACAACCCGAAGGCCUUCUUCACACACGCGGCAUGGCUGGAUCAGGGUUGCCCCCAUUGUCCAAUAUUCCCCACUGCUGCCUCCCGUAGGAGUCUGGGCCGUGUCUCAGUCCCAGUGUGGCUGAUCAUCCUCUCAGACCAGCUACGGAUCGUCGCCUUGGUGAGCCGUUACCUCACCAACCAGCUAAUCCGACAUAGGCUCAUCCGAUAGCGCGAGGCCCGAAGGUCCCCCGCUUUCCCCCGUAGGGCGUAUGCGGUAUUAGCCUGGGUUUCCCCAGGUUAUCCCCCACUACCGGGCAGAUUCCUAUGCAUUACUCACCCGUCCGCCGCUCGCCACCAGGGAGCAAGCUCCCCCGUGCUGCCGCUCGACUUGCAUGUGUUAGGCCUGACGCCAGCGUUCAAU
RNAcentral lists this ribosomal RNA (519 nucleotides) under uncultured bacterium. RNAcentral's name for it is "partial 16S ribosomal RNA". The record is from RNAcentral.